AUACGUAGGGUGCAAGCGUUGUCCGGAUUUAUUGGGCGUAAAGGGCUCGUAGGCGGUCUGUCACGUCGGAUGUGAAAACUCGGAGCUCAACUCCGGGCCUGCAUCCGAUACGGGCAGACUAGAGUUCGGUAGGGGAGAUUGGAAUUCCUGGUGUAGCGGUGGAAUGCGCAGAUAUCAGGAGGAACACCGAUGGCGAAGGCAGAUCUCUGGGCCGAUACUGACGCUGAGGAGCGAAAGCGUGGGGAGCAAACAGGAGUAGAAACCCGGGUAGUCC
RNAcentral lists this ribosomal RNA (274 nucleotides) under uncultured bacterium. RNAcentral's name for it is "partial 16S ribosomal RNA". It matches the Rfam family "Bacterial small subunit ribosomal RNA", at positions 523 to 796 of the family's 1533-position model. The record is from RNAcentral.